Molecule: ribosomal RNA, 452 nt
Filed under: uncultured organism
Description: partial 16S ribosomal RNA
Rfam family: Bacterial small subunit ribosomal RNA
Source: RNAcentral
ACGUACACUCCUACGGGAGGCAGCAGUGGGGAAUAUUGGACAAUGGGCGCAAGCCUGAUCCAGCCAUGCCGCGUGAGUGAUGAAGGCCCUAGGGUUGUAAAGCUCUUUCACCGGAGAAGAUAAUGACGGUAUCCGGAGAAGAAGCCCCGGCUAACUUCGUGCCAGCAGCCGCGGUAAUACGAAGGGGGCUAGCGUUGUUCGGAAUUACUGGGCGUAAAGCGCACGUAGGCGGAUCGAUCAGUCAGGGGUGAAAUCCCAGGGCUCAACCCUGGAACUGCCUUUGAUACUGUCGAUCUGGAGUAUGGAAGAGGUGAGUGGAAUUCCGAGUGUAGAGGUGAAAUUCGUAGAUAUUCGGAGGAACACCAGUGGCGAAGGCGGCUCACUGGUCCAUUACUGACGCUGAGGUGCGAAAGCGUGGGGAGCAAACAGGAUUAGAAACCCCGGUAGUCCCA